GAUCCUGGCUUAGGAUGAACGCUAGCGGCAGGCUUAACACAUGCAAGGUCGAGGGGCAUCGGGAGUAGCAAUACUGCCGGCGACCGGCGCAAGGGUGCGUAACGCGUGAGCAACAUGCCCGUAUCAGGGGGAUAAUCCAUGGAAACGUGGUCUAAUACCCCAUAGUAAUUAUGUAAGGCAUCUUAUAUAAUUUAAAGCUUUGGUGGAUACGGAUUGGCUCGCGUGAACAUUAGCUAGAUGGUAAGGUAACGGCUUACCAUGGACUACGAUGUCUAGGGGUUCUGAGAGGAAGGUCCCCCACACUGGAACUGAGACACGGUCCAGACUCCUACGGGAGGCAGCAGUGAGGAAUAUUGGACAAUGGAUGGAAAUCUGAUCCAGCCAUGCCGCGUGCAAGGAAGACGGCCCUAUGGGUUGUAAACUGCUUUUGUAUGGGAGCAAUAAGGGCUACGCGUAGUCCGAUGAGAGUACCAUACGAAUAAGCACCGGCUAACUCCGUGCCAGCCGCCGC
RNAcentral lists this ribosomal RNA (511 nucleotides) under uncultured bacterium. RNAcentral's name for it is "bacterial SSU rRNA". It matches the Rfam family "Bacterial small subunit ribosomal RNA", at positions 15 to 518 of the family's 1533-position model. The record is from RNAcentral.